Molecule: non-coding RNA, 162 nt
Organism: Cajanus cajan (pigeon pea)
Lineage: Eukaryota; Viridiplantae; Streptophyta; Magnoliopsida; Fabales; Fabaceae
Source: Rfam
AUACUUACCUGGAUGGGGUCAAUGGAUGAUCAUUAAGGUCCAUGGCCUAGAUUUGAUGACCUCCAUUGCACUUGGGAGGGGUGUUAAUCUAAGGUCUCCUCAAGUAGGAGAGCCUACAUCAUAAUUUGUGGCAGUAGGGGCCUGCGUUCGCGCAACCCCUUC